Molecule: unclassified non-coding RNA, 3164 nt
Filed under: Eufriesea mexicana
Lineage: Eukaryota; Metazoa; Arthropoda; Insecta; Hymenoptera; Apidae
Description: rING finger protein 44, transcript variant X6
Source: RNAcentral
AUCGUUACGCGGAAUAUCAGAGAAUAUCUUUGGUGGUUUGCAGACGAGAUUAAUCAAAUAUAUGAACAUACUUUGUGGUUUAUGGUUUAACAUACGGUCUCAAAAAUAUCGUAGGCCCAUUAUGGGCGGGGUCGUGGCUUGGGUCGAGUGAGAGACAUGGAGCGACCUCAGUGUUCUCAGUGGUGAGCUGCACGGCCAUCGCCGACCGUCGGUUUGGCCUAGCACAAUCAACGUAUUCUGCUAUGACAUCGCUCUGAAAAUCCCAGAUUAUCCCAGUAAAAGGUUUUCUCUCGAUAGCCGAAAUUGGAGGAGUUAACGUGAGGCGUGCACGUUUCUUACGGAGGGGCCAGAAACGUGUGCGAGAUCGGGCGAAAUUGGGCGGCCAAAGUUAACCUCAGCCUUGCCGUCGUGUCGUCCUGUUUCAACCACGAAAACAAACCAGGAAAAAAAGGUGGAGCGAUACCGAGGCUCACUGUGAAAGAGAAAGAAAAAGAAAAAAGCGAAGGGGGAGGGAAUGAACGGCCCUGGGAGUCAUCAGCAUCGCGGCUUGGGCAUGCAGGGACGUUACAGGGCCGUAGUAACCGGUGGCACCACGGCAGGGCCCCACUCUCGCCCCCCAGCGCCACCUCUCGUCCGCGGUGGAUGGCACCCCCAUAAUCAGCACCCUCAGCACGCCCAGAUACCCCAGCAAUACACCGGCAACAAGGAAUACCCGUAUCGACAAUGUCCACCACCACGCUUCCAUAAUGGGGAUUGCCCUGGCGUUGGUACGUCUUCCGGACCAAACGGUAAGGAAGUUUCGUAUCACGGGAACGUAGGCGGGUCUAGCGUGGGGUACAAACCGCCCCCGCAACAUAGUCCGCAAUCAAGAGGCCCACCGGCACAUUUUCCGCAAGAGUCCGUGAGCCCACCGGCUAAUUCUCCGCCGUUGCACAUUAACAUCUGUGGUCAAGAUAAUACGAUGCGUGGUCCAUUAUUGAAUAUGAGUCCAGGUCUUGGAGCUAGCGGCGUCGAUAUGGAGUAUCGUAGAAGUUCCCAAGCCACAAACCAGCUACCUCUAAGUCCUGUACAAAUACAGCCAUCGCCGCCAUAUUACAGACAACCUAGUCAAGAUGAUGGUAGAAAGAGCGAGUCACCAUCUAGAAAACGUCGUCGAAUAUCCCGCAAUGGUGCCGUCUCUGGAAUAGAAGUCCGUGAGACAACGCCACCAUCACCUACACCGCCAUUACACACGACUCCACCUCCAUGGGAAUUCUCAGCAGCGCCUCAGAGGCGAUCACCUCGGAAUCACAUGUCCACACGCGGCAGUCCAACUAUCAGAAAUCGUUAUCAACGAUAUACGGAUUCGUUUGGUUUAUCCUAUCCUUUUGUGCCCGGUCACACCCCUCUUCCGCCCAUUCACAGUUCCCAUCACGGACUCCUCAGUUCUCAUCACAACAUUCACAAUUCGCACCAUAAUUUACAUAACUCGCAUCAUAACAUGCAUAACGCCCAUCAGACUCAUCCUCAUCAUCCACCGGGCACUGGGCAUCAUCCUGCCCAAGGAGCAAAUGGUCCCGUGGUUGUAGAAGUUGGGCAACUCGGUUUGGAGGUUACCGUUAGCAGGGAACUGCUCUGGCAUCCUCCGGCGACAGGUUAUAGGAUUCCUUGCCAGUUACAUGGCAUAUAUACACCGACCGGAGCAUUUGCGCAUUCAUGUCAGGUCACUCAUCACCAUAGUCACUACUCAGCUCCACAUCCGACCCACUCGGGUCAUAGCCUCGUUGGUUCGAUAGUAGGUGCAGCAUCCAGAGGUUAUCCUACACCAACUGGAGGUCCUGUAACAGCACUCCACCACGCUCAUGCGUCACCACCACCCGUCCAUACUACUCAUUACAAUGCGCACCAUCAACUCUCCCAACAGCGGGAAGUUGAAUUAGAAUUAAUGGAAUCCCAUCAUCACCACAGAGUAGGAGCUGCAGCCAGUGCAGCAUUACCACAUUCAUAUUCUCCGCCAGCUCUCACUCAAGUCACUACUCCUACUCCUACUCCCAUAUUCUUAUCAGAAACGAGAAACAGUCAAUUGGAUAUGAUUCAGACCAGAACACGGCGCACAGCGUCGAAUGUUCACACGCUCAGACGAUCCAGGUCGAACAGAUGGAGAGGUAUGCUUCCAGUGCCGACUACCUAUACAGGAUUCUUGUUACAUUUUUUCGCAAUGUUCAACAAUGCAACAUUGCCCCCGUAUAGUCAAGGAGAAUUAUCUUCACCAGACUCGGCAACCGAAAAUUACGAGGCCCUGCUAUCCUUGGCGGAGAGAUUAGGAGAAGCUAAGCCACGAGGCCUAACUCGAGCCGAAGUGGAGCAGCUACCCUCGUACAAAUUUAACGCGGAAACGCACCAGGGAGACCAAACUAAUUGCGUGGUCUGUAUGUGCGACUUUGAGGCUCUACAAUCGCUGCGCGUUCUGCCGUGCUCACACGAAUUCCACUCAAAAUGCAUCGACAAGUGGCUGAAGUCAAAUCGAACUUGUCCAAUUUGCCGCGGCGACGCUGGGGAAUACUUUGGAAAUAGCGGAACUGGUAGCGACUGACGCCAAGCCGCCCAAGUACACUAGCGCCAACUGUCACGGGUCUCAGGGACGCUACUCGGCACAGAGAUUCCAGCAAUCACAUUGCUGGUUUGUGCAAAUUUCUGUUGACAAGCAUUUCUUCCCUUUUCUCUGACCGAGCCGUGUGUGUCACGAUUAACCACCUCGACUUCGUGAAGAGGAGGGGAUUGGAAAUGAAUGAAGAACGGAAAACGAAAAAUACGGGGAAAAAGAGUAAAAUUCAGGGUAUGAUGUCAGGGUGUUUGGUGUCGAGAAAAGGACCACACACACGCAAUAAAGAGAAGUUGAAGAGAGAGAUUAGAGAAAGAGAGAGUGUAUAAUAACGUGUAAUGAGCAAAUCAACCAAGAUUGAAAGAAACGAAGAGAAAGAGUUCCAGAGAUUUGUUAAAAGCUACUGCGCAUUUCACGUCAGGAAAUGAAAAUCUGACUAUGUAUUCGUUUUGUUUCAUCGACGCGCUUCGAGUUUAACUAUAUCGUGUUUAACGUUUGUUGUUUUCUCUUUUUCGUGUUGCUACUUCGUCAAAGUGUCGGGUUUAUUCUGUACAUAUAUAAUUACGUAAUAUGCAAAACUAUC